RNAcentral lists this non-coding RNA (24 nucleotides) under Cricetulus griseus (Chinese hamster). Lineage: Eukaryota; Metazoa; Chordata; Mammalia; Rodentia; Cricetidae. The record is from RNAcentral.
UUUGAAUGAUGACUUGGAUUGUCG